GGUAACUAAGUAACGCUAGACGAGGUAUUUUUGUGCUUAUAAGGCUAUACUAUCCCCCCUCCCUUUCUUAAGGUUUGGUGUUAAUAUUGUUAUUUUUUCUUUUUAGUAAGGUUGCUUGCUUGUCACACAGGUCAUCUUUGGCUCGUCUCCUUCCGCGAUACGCACUUGGUAGUAUCCCGCCGUAGAUCCAACUUCGAGAAGUAUCUCGUGCGGGCGAAGAAGUCUGCAUUUUAAUUUGUUAAAUUAUCAAUUAGUUGGUGAAUUUAUAACAAUAAAUAAGCUCAUGAUUAACAAACUCAAUUUUAAAUACAAAAAUACAAUGUUUU
RNAcentral lists this long non-coding RNA (326 nucleotides) under Brassica rapa (field mustard). RNAcentral's name for it is "long non-coding RNA (BRAP_LNC005046)". The record is from RNAcentral. Lineage: Eukaryota; Viridiplantae; Streptophyta; Magnoliopsida; Brassicales; Brassicaceae.